AGGGCCCUCAGGGACCCCAGGGGCCAGUUGGGCCUCCAGGAGAGAUGGGACCCAAGGGGCCGCCGGGUGCAGUGGGAGAACCGGGCCUUCCUGGGGAAGCCGGGAUGAAGGGUGACCUUGGACCCCUGGGCACUCCUGGGGAGCAGGGCCUCAUUGGGCAACGGGGAGAGCCAGGCCUCGAGGGUGACAGUGGCCCCAUGGGACCUGAUGGGCUGAAGGGGGACAGGGGAGACCCAGGGCCUGAUGGAGAACAUGGCGAGAAAGGCCAGGAAGGGCUGAUGGGUGAGGACGGGCCCCCCGGCCCCCCUGGCGUCACUGGUGUCCGGGGUCCUGAAGGAAAAUCAGGGAAGCAAGGCGAGAAGGGCCGCACUGGAGCCAAGGGCGCCAAGGGCUACCAAGGACAGCUGGGUGAGAUGGGCGUCCCUGGAGACCCUGGACCCCCUGGCACUCCAGGCCCUAAAGGGUCCCGGGGCAGCCUGGGACCAACGGU
RNAcentral lists this long non-coding RNA (490 nucleotides) under Pan troglodytes (chimpanzee). Its description in RNAcentral is "long non-coding RNA NONPTRT017584". Lineage: Eukaryota; Metazoa; Chordata; Mammalia; Primates; Hominidae. The record is from RNAcentral.